Molecule: ribosomal RNA, 406 nt
Filed under: uncultured bacterium
Lineage: Bacteria
Description: partial 16S ribosomal RNA
Rfam family: Bacterial small subunit ribosomal RNA
Source: RNAcentral
AUUGAACGCUGGCGGCAGGCCUAACACAUGCAAGUCGAGCGAGUGGCGGACGGGUGAGUAAUGUCUGGGAAACUGCCUGAUGGCGGGGGAUAACUACUGGAAACGGUAGCUAAUACCGCAUACCAUCGGAUGUGCCCAGAUGGGAUUAGCUAGUAGGUAGGGUAAAGGCUCACUUAGGCGACGAUCCCUAGCUGGUCUGAGAGGAUGACCAGCCACACUGGAACUGUGACACGGCCCAGACUCCUACGGGAGGCAGCAGUGGGGAAUAUUCGGCAAUGGGCGAAAGUCUGAUGGAGCAAUGCCGCGUGUGUGAAGAAGGCUUUCGGGUUGUAAAGUUCUGUUGUUGGGGAAGCGUUAUCCGCACAGGAAGCCCCGGCUAACUGCGUGCCAGCAGCCGCGGUAAUAC